GAGUUUGAUCCUGGCUCAGGACGAACGCUGGCGGCGUGCCUAAUACAUGCAAGUGGAACGCAUGAUUGAUACCGGAGCUUGCUCCACCAUUAAUCAUGAGUCGCGAACGGGUGAGUAACGCGUAGGUAACCUACCUCAUAGCGGGGGAUAACUAUUGGAAACGAUAGCUAAUACCGCAUAACAGUCUUUGACACAUGUUAGAGACUUAAAAGGAGCAAUUGCUUCACUAUGAGAUGGACCUGCGUUGUAUUAGCUAGUUGGUGAGGUAAAGGCUCACCAAGGCGACGAUACAUAGCCGACCUGAGAGGGUGAUCGGCCACACUGGGACUGAGACACGGCCCAGACUCCUACGGGAGGCAGCAGUAGGGAAUCUUCGGCAAUGGGGGGAACCCUGACCGAGCAACGCCGCGUGAGUGAAGAAGGUUUUCGGAUCGUAAAGCUCUGUUGUUAGAGAAGAACGUGUGUGAGAGUGGAAAGUUCACACAGUGACGGUAACUAACCAGAAAGGGACGGCUAACUACGUGCCAGCAGCCGCGGUAAUACGUAGGUCCCGAGCGUUGUCCGGAUUUAUUGGGCGUAAAGCGAGCGCAGGCGGUUCUGUAAGUCUGAAGUUAAAGGCAGUGGCUUAACCAUUGUACGCUUUGGAAACUGCAGGACUUGAGUGCAGAAGGGGAGAGUGGAAUUCCAUGUGUAGCGGUGAAAUGCGUAGA
This 710-nucleotide ribosomal RNA is filed under the name uncultured bacterium. RNAcentral describes it as "bacterial SSU rRNA". It matches the Rfam family "Bacterial small subunit ribosomal RNA", at positions 9 to 694 of the family's 1533-position model. The record is from RNAcentral.